Molecule: ribosomal RNA, 490 nt
Filed under: uncultured prokaryote
Description: partial 16S ribosomal RNA
Source: RNAcentral
CCCUAUGGGGCGCAGCAGGAUAUUCUGCGGUUCGUAGAUCCCGGUCGGUUCCGGCCGGACCAUCAGGGUAUACCGGAUCGAGACAAAGAGCAUCACGGUGAUAAAGACCGAGACGAUAAUGACCGCAAUGACCCCGAUCGUCCCGUAGAUCCUGAAGAAGGUACGCAGGGGAAUGAAUUUAUCAAAAAAUCUGACCCGGUUGGUCUUGAUUGCCAUGAUCGGGCCAUAGAAAAUAAUAUGGUCGGCCCAGAUUUUCCGGGAAUGAAUCUACUACGCAACAACUGCGUAGAUCGCCACGAGGGCGAUAAGGGUGAGGAUCCAGUCCAUCCAUAUCUGUUGGUCCGGAGAACCACAUAAAGGAAUGGUGGAUGACGGCGAUACGAGGACAGAUGGUCAACUUCUUAGAAAAACGCCGACAGGCUGCUCUGGGAUUUUUUCCCCAGUAUAUUACUCACGGUCUUCCAGCUCUUCCGGGAAUUGGCGGGGGGGC